Anolis carolinensis (green anole) is the source of this 1008-nucleotide long non-coding RNA. The record is from Ensembl. Lineage: Eukaryota; Metazoa; Chordata; Lepidosauria; Squamata; Anolidae.
AUGACCAUUCAUCAUACACUGCACCCUCGCAGUGAUGUUAACCGGCUAUAUCUGCCUAGAAGAUCAGGGGGCAGAGGACUCUUACAAGUCAAACAAGCAGUCAAAGAAGAAGAACAUGCCCUGGCAGAAGAUGUAAAGCAAAGUGAAGAACCUGCUUUGAUUGAAGUCAAAAAUCAGAAACUCCUCAAAGCACAGCUGACAAAAAACCAGUACAAGAAAACCGCACUACAAACUAGAGCUGACAGCUGGCACAACAAAACAUGGCAUGGAAAGUUCCUUGACAAAAUUGAAGGAAAAGCUGAUAAGGAGAAGACCUGGCUCUGGCUCACAAAUGGGACCCUGAAGAAGGAGACAGAAGGCCUGAUCCUUGCAGCCCAGGAGCAAGCCGUCAGAACAAAUGCAGUUAAGGCCAAGAUCGAAAAAACAGCUGAUGACCCAAAAUGCAGACUGUGCAAGGAAGCUGACGAAACCAUUGAUCAUCUCCUCAGCUGCUGUAACAAAAUCGCACAGACAGACUACAAACAGAGGCACAACUAUGUGGCCCAAAUGAUUCAUUGGAACUUAAGCCUCAAGUACCACCUUCCAGCAGCAAAGAACUGGUGGGAUCACAAACCUGUAAAAGUAUUGGAGAAUGAGCACGAAAAGAUACUGUGGGACUUCCGAAUCCAGACUGACAAAGUUCUGGAACACAACACACCAGACAUCACAGUUGUGGAAAAGAAAAAGGUUUGGAUCAUUGAUGUUGCCAUCCCAGGUGACAGUCGCAUUGACGAAAAACAACAGGAAAAACUCAGCUGCUAUCAAGACCUCAAGAUUGAACUUCAAAGACUCUGGCAGAAACCAGUGCAGGUGGUCCCGGUGGUGAUCGGCACACUGGGUGCUGUGCCAAAAGAUUUCAGCCGGCAUUUGGAAACAAUAGACAUUGACAAAAUUACGAUCUGCCAACUGCAAAAGGCCACCCUACUGGGAUCUGCGUGCAUCAUCCGAAAAUACAUCACACAGUCCUAG